Camelus dromedarius (Arabian camel) is the source of this 4398-nucleotide RNA transcript. It is a transcript of the gene named PNMA family member 8A, with no coding region annotated. The transcript has 4 exons. NCBI's taxonomy places the organism in Eukaryota, Metazoa, Chordata, Mammalia, Artiodactyla, Camelidae. The record is from RefSeq and is a predicted model, not a curated record.
CCGGGUCGGGGCGAGACGCCGGGGCCGGAGUAGGAUUGGACGCUGGCGUCCCGGCCCUUGGCCCAGAGCAGCCGCGCGGGGGUGGCUUGAGCAGGCGUCUGGCCGGCGGCCCAUCCCAGCGGCCUCGCCUUGGCCCAACUGGGCGGUCAGAGGCGGGGCUGCCAGAUCCCUGCCGGGCGGGCGGAGAGCCAGGCCCCGGGGAGGAGCCGAAUCCAGGACACGUGAUUAAUACUUAGGGACCGCUGCAGCAUUGGUUCACCUGGUAGACUCUUCAGUACACAGGUGUCCACGACCAUGGCGGUGAAUCUUUUGGAGGACUGGUGCCGGGGAAUGGAAGUGGACAUCCACAGGUCUCUGUUGGUCACAGGCAUCCCAGAGGACUGUGUCCAAGCGGAAAUUGAGGAGACCUUGAAUGGGGUCCUCUCUCCACUGGGCCCGUACCUCGUGCUCAACAAGAUUUUUUUGAGAGAAGAGAAUACCAAAGCUGCUCUCGUUAAGGUCGGUGAGGGAGUGAAUCUGAGGGCUAUACCCCGGGAGUUCCCAGGAAGAGGGGGUGUCUGGCGAGUGGUCUGUAGGGACCCCACCCAGGAUGCUGAGUUUUUUAAAAACCUGAAUAAAUUCCUGGAUGCAGAGGGCCGCACCUGGGAAGAUGUGGUCCGCCUGCUCCAGCUUAACCACUCCCCACCACCCCAGAACCAGAAUCAGCCUCCAGAGAACUGGGCAGAAGCUUUGGGGGUGCUUUUGGGGGCGGUGGUGCAAAUUGUCUUCUACAUGAAUGCUGAGAACCGCAGCCGGGAGGAAGUGAGGGCUCAGGAGGCUGCUGAGGCCCAGGCAGUAGCAUCCUUGGCUUCAGCAGCAGGGAAGAAGGUCAAAAAGGAGCCAGGGUGGGCUGUGGAGGUAGGCUCUGCCUUGAAGAUGGAAAAUCUGGAUGGCUGGAAUGACAUGGAAAACGAUGGUGACCCUCCCAAACCUUUGGUUCGAAAGGCUGGAGCUAAGACUCGCUCCAGGAGAAAGAAGCAGAAAAAGACUCCCAAGCAGGAACCAGCGGCCUGGAAGAAAUCCAAAGGCAGCCAUUCCAACAGCUUGGCUUCUUUGGAGGAUCCUGAGAUUGGUGAUGCUGAAAACAUGGAGAUGUCUGAAUGUAUCAGGAGCAACAGAAAACCCCAAGUGAAGCAGGAGGAGUUGGAUUUGAAGAAGCCCAUAGCCAAAUGUGCCUGGAAGUCUCCCAGCACCCCACCUGACACUGCCCGGGUGGAAGCCACACGCCCUGGUGUUGCCUCUGAGUCAGACCAAGAUGGUGGUCCCGAGGGCCCACCCAAGAAGAAGGCCGUGGGCUGGGCCUCCACAAAGAGCCCUGCUCCCGUGAGGAAGAAAAAGAAGGUGAGGUUGGGCCCUGUCUCUUAUGUCCUUGCUGAUUCGGAAGACACCAAGAAGAAGCCUGUGAUUCCAAAGAAAGGGCCAGGCUUGCGAAGGGAUACAUCGGUUCAGAAGGCCCCUCGGGGCCCACGGCCCGCUGAGUCGCCUGCCUCCGCCUCACAGGGUCCAGAGGCCAAGCCAGAAGGCUCCCCUCACACUUCCAAUGAACCCAGAAAGCUCUAAUAUGGGGGACCACCCAUACCAGAGGAGUUGAACGAAGACCAGGGAAGAAGUUCCAAGUCGAGAACCAAGUUUCUCUAGUCACCGAAUGACUUUGGACUCUUGUAGGGAUCCGGUUCUCAGAGGGACUCCAGAACCAGGACUCCAGCGCCAGCCACUGCCUGAGUCACCUGAUGGACAGAAGACCCAAGGGAAGCUGGACUUUGAGGACAGGAGAGCUAAAUAGGCCCUGGAGUGCACACACAUAAAGACCCAGGUCAAAGGUUUAUUUAUUGGGUCCUUUCCUCUGCGCCUCUAUGAGAAAAGCCAUAUUUGGCCAAGAUCUUUAAGUAACUCCCACGAACCCUCCUUCCCUGUAGUUAUACCCAGUCCAUCAGUAAAGGUGAAAGGCUGACCUGGCCCCUAGUUGGGGGAGAUCCAGGGAUGGGGCUUCGUGGGGGUACAGGUCAGCUCUCCAAGGAAACCCCCAGGCCACUUGUUGGACGGGGUGGCAUUCUGUUCCAGGCUGUGCCUCGGAGCAAGGCCCAGCCAGAGGUGCCAAGGAGAGGCUGUGCCCACCACCAGGAGGGCUUGAAGGUAAAGCUUCCUCAUUCAUCGUGCUUUCGUUUAGCCAGAAUUUAUUGAGCAUCUGCCAGGGGACAGCCAGGAACCAGACAGUCCUGUGCUCCUGGAGCUGACAUUCUUGUGGGGAGGUGGACCACACAUACAGAGAUAGGAUGGUGUGUAAGGGGUGUUAAGUACUGCGGUGAGACGUGAUGCAGGGAGGGUCAAGGUGAGUGUGUAUGCAAGAGACAGAGAGAGAAAGAGAGAGAUGGCUGUUCUAUAUAGUCAGGGAGGGCUUCUCUGAGGCGGUGACGUUUGAACAGAUCUGAAGGAGCUGAAGGGUGAUACAGGUGGCUGGCCAAUGGAACAGCGUCUUGGGGAGAGGGAACAAUCAGUAUGAAAGGAGGCAGGAGGGUGCCUGGUCUGAGAAAAAGUGAGGAACGGAGGGAUGUGGGGAAGAAGGGAGAUAUUUCUGUAUGGAUGGGCUUUGACUUUAAUCUGAGUGAGUCAGGAGCCAUGAAAGAGAUGUGAUCCUGCUUAGAUUGUCACAGGCUCCCUUGCCCGUUCCCACUUUCCACCAAACCAUGGCUCCAAGGAGGCACUCUCUCUGCCCGUUGUUGGACCUGUGGGUGGUAAAGUGUCAUCCUUGAUCUGAAGAAGGGAUGCUCAGGCACCCCAGCCGGUGCAGUGUCUUCUGGUUCUUUUACAGGACCCUGGGCAUCUGUGUCUGACACUGGGUAGGAAAAGCCCAGUCUAGAAUCAGUGUCCAUUCCCAUCAAGACCCGUGUGGAGCCCCCAGGGCUGCCAGCGUCAGUCUCACGCCAGCAGUGUUCAGGGCCUUCCCAACAGAGAACUGCCCACACGGCCAGCCCCUGUCUCUCUUGUUGACAGAUACAGUUCUCACUGGCAUUUUGUGCCUCAGGGUGCAGAAGGACUAUGUCUAGAUUCAGCCCAUCUCAGCACUGCUACAGUGCCCUGUACUCACUCAUCCCUUGGACCCCAGACACCAUCUCAAGGGAGCAUGUGGGGAUUUCUGCUUGUGGGUUCCAGCCACCUUCCAAACCUGGGAGUUCUGACAGUGAGACAGUGGCAUGUCCCACUGAAUGCCUGUCUCAAAUUCCCCUAGGGAUCUCCACAUGUAUCCCACAUGGGUGUCCCUUUAAUAGGCCAGAUUUCCAGUGCCUUCCUGCCUGACCAUAUGGCCAAGCCAUUGGCCAUCACUCAUGAGUCAGUAAAAACCCAAACAUAGGGGAUUUUACCACUUUAAUUCUACCACUGUUGGAAAAACAGCCUGCAGUUCAGCCCACCAAGCUGAUUUGUCUUUCCCUCCUUCCACUCUCUUCUUUCCUAACUAAUAGUAGAAGGGAAGCUUGCUACUGAUGGAAGCCAUCUUGCCACCAUGUGGCAGGAAGUGCAAAGGCCCUGAGACAGGAGUAUUUCUUGUGUGUGGGAGGCCAGUGCAGCUGGAGCACAGUGAGCAGGAGGGCAAAUAGCAGGAAGAGAGGUCAGAGAGGAUUGACUUUCUGAACCCAAGGUGAUACAGAGGAAAGCAGAUCCAGAAGAGAGAGAGAGAAUAUUGUUUACAUUGUGUGAGAGGCUGGCUCCAGCCAUGCCUGAAAGCCAGAACUCUUGGAUUUCUGGGUUACAUGAAUCAAUAAAUACCUUAUUUUUUCUUUUCUUUCUUUUGCCCAUCCCCUCUUUCCCCUCCUCCAGCAACCUGAAUUAGCUUAUUUCAUACGUGAAACUGUCCUGAUUAAUGAAACUACAAAAAGGCAUACGAUGAAAACUAAAUCACCUUUCCACCCUAGAUUCCAGAGGUUUACUAGUUUCUUUUAUAUCCUUCCAGAGAAGCUCUCCGUAGGUAGAUUUAUAGCAUUCACAUGCAGAUAUAUUCUCAUCUCCUUUUUCACUCAAGUAGAAUACUAUGCACAUUUUUCUUAACCUAAAGUAUCUUGGAACAUAUCUUGGAUAGUGUUCCAUUUUUCAUCAUCUGGCUGCAUAGACUCGGUGAGUGGCUUCAGGUACAUUUGUAACCUGCUGCUCAAAGAGAAGCCUCAGGAAUCUGGCUCGCCUGCCACUCUAAACUUUGUUCUCUGAGUUGGUUCCAUCCUCAGGCCAGCUUCUCCAUGGUGACAAAGGUAGCUGCCAGCCCAUAAAGUUUGAUCCUUAGAGCACCAGUAGAAAUAGAUGUGUUUUCCGAUGGUCCCAGUCAAUGUCCCAGGGAAGACUUCUUUUUUUUUUUUAAUUGACAUAUAGUCG